Non-coding RNA from Aegilops tauschii subsp. strangulata, 5561 nucleotides. NCBI's taxonomy places the organism in Eukaryota, Viridiplantae, Streptophyta, Magnoliopsida, Poales, Poaceae. The record is from RefSeq and is a predicted model, not a curated record.
UUCCCAAAUCUUCCUUCCCCAGAUGCAGCCGUCGCCUUCUCCUCUUCCCCACGCGAGCUCUCCUCUCCCCUUUCAGCGCCUCCUAGAUAGGGUUACCGACGUCGCCCCCUAUCCAUGACCUGAUUCGCGGAGGUGGCUGGUAGGUGCGCUAAGGUCGAUGGCGCCGAGGACGAGGCAGAGCAGCAGAGGUGGUUCUGUUGUGCUGGGUUGAGCGGCGGCCGGAGCGGGUCAGCCACAGCCACGGAGAUGGCCGUCCGUGGAGUCGUCCUCAUCCACAGAAGGGAAGGGAGGACGAGAUGAAGAGCGCCACCGGGAGCAGAUCUGGCCGUCGACGGCAAGAAGGCCAUGCCUUCUUCCACCUCCGUGCGGUCACCCAGACAAUUCCAUCAGACUUGGCCAAAAAUACCAUCAAUGUAUCACCUGUACAUAUGUUUAGGGCUGAUGCACCCGUCUAAAUGAAAUAUGGUCUGUACUAAAUGAAUGUUGGUGUGCUAGGGCUAUCUGUAUCUGCUGUGCACCAGUGUGUCCAGGAGAAGGAGCAGCAACUCCUUGGACAAUGGUCUGGCCUGAUGUAUGUUUGUUUGCUAACAUAGUGCUAAUGGGUGUGCAAAUUAAGGUUCGGCCACGUCUGCGGCAACGGCGGGGACCUCCGCCCGUGGGUCUCCGUCUUGCUGCUCAUCCUCUUUUCUAGGUACAUUGACUCAUAAUGAUGAAGUUGCAACAGUAUGGAGUACAUACAAUUUUUUCUUUCGGAACUAAACUCGUCUCAAGGUAAAUACUACAGGAAGCACUGCAUAUAUGUUCAUGCCACCCUGAAUAUAUUGGAUUUAGAUCUUGAUGUAUAUAUGCAGUAUGUAUGUUCUAUAAAGAUCAGCGUGAAGAGUGUUUGUUCAUUGGAACAUGUUUUUUCUUCCUGAUUUAGGGUCUUACUACAAUAUAACUAUCUAGAAAGCAUUUUAUAGGAGGUCACAUUCAGACUUCUUUACUAAAUUCUUCAUAGCCUUACCAUGAUAGUUGCAGUACAGCUCUCACAUGAGGCCUGCUUAUUAUUUCUCCCACCUUUUCUAUUCAUACUACUGGUGUUCCGGCGUUGUUUAUUGCCCAAUUUCUUUUCCGUUCAAAGUCACCUUAUACACAAGCAACUACCAAUAGCCUUGAAGCUUCUAUCACCAAAACCACUCUGAUGUAUAUUACCUUGGAACUCAUCAUUUCUGGAGACGACUUCAUGUAUUCCUACGGUUAUCUUCCUAUCUUAGUUUACUCCAUCAUUUGUUUCUGAGAGGCUCGCUAUGCGGUUCGCGCUGCUUGCUGUGCCAGCCGGCGCGCCCAUCCACGUGUUCAAGAACCUCCUGCUGAUUCACACCAUGACUGGUAUGCAUGCUAGGACGCCUCUCACUGCUGAAUCAUAAUUUCAAGAAAUGUUGUUGUCAAAUGCAAAUAGUUAGUGUGUUAUGCAGUCCACUUAGCAUACUUUUCGUCUUUGCUUACUUGGAUGGUUAUUCAUACCAAACACUUAAUAAUUCAAGCUCAGUAUUUUCCAUUUUGUAAAUAAAACAAUUGUUCACAGAUGCCUGUCACUGUCACAUUUUCUUGAUAUGUUUUCCAACACCACCACUAUUAAGUAUAUGCCUAUACCCAUCAAACCAUCUUUUUAAUCUCAUCCCUGUACCUUUGCGUGAAGUUCGUUCAAAUGAUUUUAGGCCUAGAGCCCGGAUAAUAGUGUACUAGCCUUGUGAAGGUUCACAGUAUACCCCUCAAUUUCUUUUGGAAAGACUGUUGUCCUAUGGUCUUCCGGUAUGUCUCUUUCCAAUUUGCAAAGUGUACAAUAAUUACUACUUUACUCUUAUUAUUUCCUCUGAUUGGAUUUUAAAACUGUGCUCACUCAUCCAUAGUUAAAUAUUAUAGUAUUGCAAGUUUAGGAAGCACCUGAAAUAUUGAAAGAAGCUAAGAAUCUUGUUUCGUCUGGUGUCGCUCACAAAAUUUUCUUCUGAUUCUUGCACGAGCUACUCACACAAUGGCCACCAGUUCUCUGAUCCUUCUUAUUACAUAGUACACUACUAUCUUAUUUUCAUUCUUUUGCUUCUUUGACCCAUCAUCUUCGGGUAUUUACAUGUAAACAGAAAGUCUCGAUGACGCUGCUGCUGCUGCUGCUCUCGCUUCACUUACUAUACCCGAGGCAAUGGAGUCUGCAAAGGAAUUUUCCAUCAGGAUGAGAUAGGCGUCGUUUAUUCACCUAAGUAACCCUCUUCUCACCACACUAAAAUUUGUAGCAUACUCUGAUCAUACAGAUGCCAGAUGUGGUUUAUUCUUAAGAGUUGUUAAUUGUUCUGAAAGUGAUGGAUCAGAAGCUGAUGAAGUUGUCCAUAUUCACACUACAAGUAGUUGGGGGCCUGCUAAAUGUCAUCAACAAGAGAAGGUUCUAUCUAGCAUUAGGGAGGGCUUUAUUUAUAAUUCUAACAAUUAUUUAUGUAAAGUUUUUUUUCUUUUGAUCUGAAUGGCAUGGAAAAUGUUGAUUCAUUUCAUGUUGUCAUUUUGUUUUAUUUUUCUGUCUUGCUCAGUAAAACUUGCUUUUGUAAUUAGGCCAAAGUUUCCAUCCCUUUUAUAAAAGAAAACAAAUAACUUGACGCUAACAUCUACUGUGCUUAUCAGAGAAGACCCCAUGCAGAUGGGCGACAGGUGCAUCAGGGUGACCAUCCACCAUUGCUUCUUUGACAGCAUGCGGCCGAUCUAUGCAGUUCAGCAAGGUCCACCUCUUCAACAAAACUACACCAGGGACUGGGGCAUAUACGCUGUCUGCGACAUUGUCAAAGCUCAGGUUGUAUCCAGUGUAACAUAUAUGAUGAACAGAUGAAGACUGUUUUCAAAUACAUGCCGGAGAAGGUACCUGCAUCUUCAUACAAGAUGAGACGAGGAUGCUGCUGCAGGCUGUUGACAGAGUACAGGCGGCCGGGGGGGGGGGGGGGGGUGAGCAGGGCCUCUCCGGGCAAGGCCAUGGGUAUCUUCUUUGCCAUGGGCACCAAGGGCAGUGUGCCAAGACUGAGACAUUGCCACCUGCUGUCCACAUCGAUGCCGACGAGGGAAAAAAUACACGGAGCUAAUUCGAUCCCCAUCAACAUCAGAUGCUGCAUUGUCCGUCCUGAAUCCUUGGAUGUUGGGAAGUUCGAAGAAGCAUGUGCUGUAGGUAUGUCUUUGUAAUCAGUAUAUAUUUAUAUGCUUCUGCAAAUUAUAAAUCAUGUAUUUGCAUUCACUGACUGUCCACUAAAUACUUCUACCAAUUUGAUUUGAUAAUGCGGUUGUUUGGAUGCUAAAAGAAUAAUGAAUUGGUGCACAUUUUUAAUGAUAAGACAUCGAAGGGCCAACGUCUUGUUAGAAGUAGCUUAUUCUUGGUCAAUCCUUCCACUUUACCAAGCUAAUGAGGGUGAUCAAGCACUUAUUUUUUUACCUGUCCCAAGGGAUUUGAGGAAUGAUUUCGUGCUUUUGAUGAAUGUGGCUGCAACCAUAUUCCUAUAGUCAGUGAUUCAAUAAUUGUCACAUUUUCCUUCCAACUUUUAUAUUGCUUCUUUCAUGUCCAGUUGUUGAAUACAUGCGCAGACUUGAUUUUUGCCACUGGAAACAGUACAUACUCUUAAAGAUUUUGUGGUGACCACAUGAUUGUUGCUCUUGGCUCCAUAUGCUUUUUGUUAAACUUGCUCAUAAAGUACAUAACUUUGAACAAUGCAAUGAAAUCAGUAGAAGCAUCACAUGAUAUGAUUGUUCAUGCUGGCAGCACAAAGCAUAUUGAAGGAAUAACCUAGCGGCGGCUGUACAAUACUAUCAUUGUAGUAGCAUUCCCAAUUUUUUAUAUUCCUAUGUUCCGAACACUCGAUAAAAUUAUGUCAAAACUGACAAAAUUUUGUGAACUGGAGGGAGUAACUAUUAUCUUAUUCUCUGUUUUAAUGUUGUACUCAUGCAACUGAACUUCCAUACAUUUCGAAAUUAUCUUUAGAUGUUCAAGAAUGGGGCUGCUAAUCUGUGCUUAUGAGCAUCAGUAACUACUAUCUAAUGUUCACGUACAUAGUGUCGUUGAUGUCAGGGACCAAACCAAGUGCAUAAUCUGAGGUUGGGAGGCUAUUAAUGAAUGUCCAGUUUAAAUUUUAUAUGCAUACGCAUGUGUGAUUUUAAACCAAAAGCAUUCUCUCUCUUUUGGAGAUCCCCUGCCUUUUGGAAGAUGUUUAGCUUUGAUUUCAACUGCCAGCCUUCUCUCUGUACUCACUGAUCCGCCUGGUAAGACCUACCUGUAAAUAAAAAUCUACUUGCUAUGCUUUAUAAUUAAAAUAUCUGCUGCUGCAGUUCUGCUGCAUAUAUUCUUCUUUGUAAGCAUUGUCGUUUCUUUCAGUGUAUUCUUUUUUGAGCAACUAGCAACCAUCAAGGCUAUCAAACACGUUAAGAAUUGCAACAGCAAGGUACGCACUCAGGUGGCGGCACCUGGUUGACUGGUCAUGAGUAAGGGCAAGUUGUCUGUUUCAGUUUAUGAGUCCAAUGAUGCAAUUUGAGAUAAACUAGAGCAUAUUGAGACACUUUUGAGAGAAAUAAUUUGUAUUAUUGCACACACAUGCCUGGUUCAAAUAUGAGGUGUAUGAUAGAGAGUUAGUAACAUGGUCUAAUUCAUUACAUACUUGUGUUGGUCGAUUUAUUUGUCGGACAAUUUGCUCUGCUCCUGAAAUGUCACUAGGUUUGUGAGUUAUAUCAGAGUUAGUAACUUGGUUUAAUUCGUUACAUACUUGUAUAUAUUGAUUAUUUAUUUGUUGGACAAUUUGCUCUGCUCCUAAGAAAAUAGGACUAGCAAGUGAUAUAACUCUUAUGACAGCUCAUGGUUAGGUUAUAGCAUGUUUAAUUACUCUCAUUUCUCUCAGUAACCUUGCAUACCCCUUUAUAAUGGUAUGUACACACAUCCAUUAUGUUUAGCUGUGGGAUGUUGGAUUGGUGUGCUUGUGGCCUGAAGAAGAGUGCUCACAUCAAAUGCUUACGUUAGUCUUACGUCCUUGUGUGGCCAUACUUUUGCUUGAUAACAAACACCUGCAUUGUUCCUUUUUCUUUGUAAAAAGUAAUAGAAUAUCUAUUAGUUUCAUUGGUAUAUGAGUGCAAUGUUCCUUAUAAUUAAUAGGUAUAGGAGCUGGCGCUGAUACGAGUGUCCACCUCCUAUAAGAUGACAAAGAUGGAGAGGAAGCAGGAGUGUUGGCGCAGGAGCAGCAGAUGUGGGCACAGUGCUGGCAAGGCGGGAUGCAGGGGCAGCAUGACCUCGAUGGGCUCGCCAUCGACGGCAGCGGAUGCCCAUUCCCAUGGCGCACCACGCAGCCGGUGGGUACUAUUACUAGCGCCUCCUUGAGCUAAGCGACUUGUUUUGGUUCCCCUCUCUUGUUGAGUUUUUUUUUGCGGGACUCUUGUUGAGCUUUUAUCUAUGAAUGAUACUCUGAUCAUCAUUUUCCACGAAGAAAUUGUAAUUCGAAUUGAGAUUGAGAAUUUGAAAACGGCCUUACAGGACACGAGCCGUGGCACUACAAAGGUGUUGUACUUGGGUUGAA